AUAGAAGGUAGGGUCUGCCCACUGUUUUAUAAUAAAGGGCUGCAGUAUUUUGACUGUACAAAGGUAGCAUAAUCAUUUGUUCUUUAAUUGGGGACUGGUAUGAAUGAUUUAACUUUAAUUUUAUUGUCUUUUAAAUAAAUUUUGAAUUUUAUUUUUAUGUGAAGAAGCGUAAAUGAGAAAAGAAGACAAGAAGACCCUAUGAAAGUUUAUAAUUUUUAUUUAAAGAUAUGAAUUAGAGAAUGAUAAUUAUUUGGUUGGGGCGAUUGUUUAAUAAAACUGAAGUUUUGUUUUACUUUAAGUGAGUUUUAUGAUCCAUUUGUUGAUUAAUUGAAUAAGUUACUCUAGGGAUAACAGCAUAAUUUAUUUUGAUAGAUCUUAUUGGUAAGUAAGUUUGUGACCUCGAUGUUGGAUUAGGAUAUUUAUGUUUUGUAGAAGAAAUAUGAGAUUGUCUGUUCGACAAUUAAAAUCCUACA
This 473-nucleotide ribosomal RNA is filed under the name Lophoproctus coecus. Its description in RNAcentral is "partial small subunit ribosomal RNA". It matches the Rfam family "Bacterial large subunit ribosomal RNA", at positions 1845 to 2600 of the family's 2925-position model. Lineage: Eukaryota; Metazoa; Arthropoda; Diplopoda; Polyxenida; Lophoproctidae. The record is from RNAcentral.